This 164-nucleotide ribosomal RNA is filed under the name Quercus pyrenaica. RNAcentral's name for it is "5.8S ribosomal RNA". It matches the Rfam family "5.8S ribosomal RNA". From Rfam's summary of the family: 5.8S ribosomal RNA (5.8S rRNA) is a component of the large subunit of the eukaryotic ribosome. It is transcribed by RNA polymerase I as part of the 45S precursor that also contains 18S and 28S rRNA. The record is from RNAcentral. Lineage: Eukaryota; Viridiplantae; Streptophyta; Magnoliopsida; Fagales; Fagaceae.
AAAACGACUCUCGGCAACGGAUAUCUAGGCUCUCGCAUCGAUGAAGAACGUAGCGAAAUGCGAUACUUGGUGUGAAUUGCAGAAUCUCGCGAAUCAUCGAGUUUUUGAACGCAAGUUGCGCCCGAAGCCAUUCGGCCGAGGGCACGUCUGCCUGGGUGUCACGC